UCGGACGUGGUGCACGGUGCACGCCCGCAGUUGUUACAGUGGUAACUUCAAAGUAACGGGGGAAGCCUGGGUUCGACUCCCAGCGUCCGAA
This is a non-coding RNA of Mycena latifolia, 91 nucleotides long. Lineage: Eukaryota; Fungi; Basidiomycota; Agaricomycetes; Agaricales; Mycenaceae. The record is from the annotation of a GenBank genome assembly.